RNAcentral lists this ribosomal RNA (486 nucleotides) under uncultured bacterium. Its description in RNAcentral is "partial 16S ribosomal RNA". It matches the Rfam family "Bacterial small subunit ribosomal RNA", at positions 29 to 507 of the family's 1533-position model. The record is from RNAcentral.
AUUGAACGCUGGCGGCAUGCCUUACACAUGCAAGUCGAACGGCAGCACGGGUGCUUGCACCUGGUGGCGAGUGGCGAACGGGUGAGUAAUACAUCGGAACAUGUCCUGUAGUGGGGGAUAGCCCGGCGAAAGCCGGAUUAAUACCGCAUACGAUCUACGGAUGAAAGCGGGGGACCUUCGGGCCUCGCGCUAUAGGGUUGGCCGAUGGCUGAUUAGCUCGUGGGUGGGGUAAAGGCCUACCAAGGCGACGAUCAGUAGCUGGUCUGAGAGGACGACCAGCCACACUGGGACGGAGACACGGCCCAGACGCCUACGGGAGGCAGCAGUGGGGAAUUGUGGACAAUGGGCGAAAGCCUGAUCCAGCAAUGCCGCGUGUGUGAAGAAGGCCUUCGGGUUGUAAAGCACUUUUGUCCGGAAAGAAAUCCUUGGCCCUAAUACGGUCGGGGGAUGACGGUACCGGAAGAAUAAGCACCGGCUAACUACGUG